CUUGAUGGAGCCCAGCCACAGCGGAUUCUCUGUGGAGUGCGCCUGGCCGUACGUCUCCAGCAGGGCCUGCGCCUC
Molecule: non-coding RNA, 75 nt
Organism: Streptomyces sp. CNQ-509
Lineage: Bacteria; Bacillati; Actinomycetota; Actinomycetes; Kitasatosporales; Streptomycetaceae
Rfam family: ASpks TB sRNA
Source: Rfam